This 388-nucleotide ribosomal RNA is filed under the name uncultured bacterium. RNAcentral's name for it is "bacterial SSU rRNA". It matches the Rfam family "Bacterial small subunit ribosomal RNA", at positions 28 to 417 of the family's 1533-position model. The record is from RNAcentral.
GACGAACGCUGGCGGCGUGCUUAACACAUGCAAGUCGAGCGGUAAGGCCCUUUCGGGGGUACACGAGCGGCGAACGGGUGAGUAACACGUGGGUGACCUGCCCUCAGCUCUGGGAUAAGCCUGGGAAACUGGGUCUAAUACCGGAUAUGACUCCAUGACGCAUGUUGGUGGGUGGAAAGCCUUGUGCGGCUGAGGAUGGGCCCGCGGCCUAUCAGCUUGUUGGUGGGGUGAUGGCCUACCAAGGCGACGACGGGUAGCCGGCCUGAGAGGGCGACCGGCCACACUGGGACUGAGACACGGCCCAGACUCCUACGGGAGGCAGCAGUGGGGAAUCUUGCGCAAUGGGCGAAAGCCUGACGCAGCGACGCCGCGUGAGGGAUGACGGCCU